This 125-nucleotide small RNA is filed under the name Marmota monax (woodchuck). Lineage: Eukaryota; Metazoa; Chordata; Mammalia; Rodentia; Sciuridae. The record is from RNAcentral.
GCUGGGCACGGUGGCGCACGCCUGUAAUCCCAGUGGCUUGGGAGGCUGAGACAGGAGGAUAACAGGUCAAAACCAGCCUCAGAAAAAGCGAGGUGCUAAACAACUCAGUGAGGCCCCCGUCUCUA